RNAcentral lists this ribosomal RNA (468 nucleotides) under uncultured bacterium. Its description in RNAcentral is "partial 16S ribosomal RNA". It matches the Rfam family "Bacterial small subunit ribosomal RNA", at positions 28 to 507 of the family's 1533-position model. The record is from RNAcentral.
GACGAACGCUGGCGGCGUGCUUAACACAUGCAAGUCGAACGGAAAGGCCCUGCUUUUGUGGGGUGCUCGAGUGGCGAACGGGUGAGUAACACGUGAGUAACCUGCCCUUGACUUUGGGAUAACUUCAGGAAACUGGGGCUAAUACCGGAUAGGAGCUCCUGCUGCAUGGUGGGGGUUGGAAAGUUUCGGCGGUUGGGGAUGGACUCGCGGCUUAUCAGCUUGUUGGUGGGGUAGUGGCUUACCAAGGCUUUGACGGGUAGCCGGCCUGAGAGGGUGACCGGCCACAUUGGGACUGAGGUACGGCACAGACUGCUACGGGAGGCAGCAGGGGGGAAUAUUGAACAAUGGGCGGAAGCCUGAUGCAGCAACGCCGCGGGCGGGAUGACGGCCUUCGGGUUGUAAACCGCUUUCGCCUGUGACGAAGCGUGAGUGACGGUAAUGGGUAAAGAAGCACCGGCUAACUACGUG